RNAcentral lists this ribosomal RNA (532 nucleotides) under Akanthomyces dipterigenus. Its description in RNAcentral is "SSU rRNA". It matches the Rfam family "Eukaryotic small subunit ribosomal RNA", at positions 34 to 575 of the family's 1831-position model. The record is from RNAcentral. Lineage: Eukaryota; Fungi; Ascomycota; Sordariomycetes; Hypocreales; Cordycipitaceae.
UUUUCAAAGAUUUAGCCCUGCAUGUUUAAGUAUAGCAAUUAUACAGCGAAACUGCGAAUGGCUCAUUAUAUAAGUUAUCGUUUAUUUGAUAGUACCUUACUACUUGGAUAACCGUGGUAAUUCUAGAGCUAAUACAUGCUAAAAAUCCCGACUCCGGAAGGGAUGUAUUUAUUAGAUUAAAAACCAAUGCCCUCUGGGCUCCUUGGUGAUUCAUAAUAACUUUUCGAAUCGCAUGGCCUUGCGCCGGCAAUGGUUCAUUCAAAUUUCUUCCCUAUCAACCUUUGAUGUUUGGGUAUUGGCCAAACAUGGUCGCAACGGGUAACGGAGGGUUAGGGCUCGACCCCGGAGAAGGAGCCUGAGAAACGGGUACUACAUCCAAGGAAGGCAGCAGGCGCGCAAAUUACCCAAUCCCGAUUCGGGGAGGUAGUGACAAUAAAUAAUGAUACAGGGCUCUUUUGGGUCUUGUAAUUGGAAUGAGUACAAUUUAAAUCCCUUAACGAGGAACAAUUGGAGGGCAAGUUGGCCCCCCCCC